GUAAGACCGAUGACUGGGACUAAGUCGUAACAAGGUAGCUGUAGGUGAACCUGCAGAAGGAUCA
This 64-nucleotide ribosomal RNA is filed under the name uncultured eukaryote. RNAcentral describes it as "partial small subunit ribosomal RNA". The record is from RNAcentral.